UACGUAGGGACCAAGCGUUGUCCGGAAUCAUUGGGCGUAAAGCGGGUGUAGGCGGCUCUAUAAGUCAGGAGUGAAAGCCCCAAGCUUAACUUGGGAAGUGCUUUUGAUACUGCAGAGCUUGAAUGUGGGAGAGGGUAGUGGAAUUCCAGGUGUAGUGGUGAAAUACGUAGAUAUCUGGAGGAACACCGGUGGCGAAGGCGGCUACCUGGCCCAACAUUGACGCUGAGACCCGAAAGCAUGGGGAUCAAACAGG
This 253-nucleotide ribosomal RNA is filed under the name uncultured bacterium. Its description in RNAcentral is "partial 16S ribosomal RNA". It matches the Rfam family "Bacterial small subunit ribosomal RNA", at positions 524 to 776 of the family's 1533-position model. The record is from RNAcentral.